Chiloscyllium plagiosum (whitespotted bambooshark) is the source of this 937-nucleotide non-coding RNA. NCBI's taxonomy places the organism in Eukaryota, Metazoa, Chordata, Chondrichthyes, Orectolobiformes, Hemiscylliidae. The record is from RefSeq and is a predicted model, not a curated record.
CAGGUCUGCCAGCAUCUGAGGAGCAGGAGCAUCAACAUUUUGAGUAAAAGUCUUCGAUUAUCUGUAAGGUGGAUCUGUAUUGGAUGGAAAAAGAUCAGCACCUCUAUCCUGCUCUACCAAAUUAAGAACAUUUGCAUUCAUUCAGUUUGCAAAUCUACUUCAAAACAUAACCUACAGGAUCAGGAGUGUGCCGGUUCAUCAAAUAUUCUGGAUAACCAAGAGGUUACACAUGACCACAGUAAACCCUGACCAAGUGAAGUUUCGAGACAUCAAAAUCCCUCAACAAAAUCUAUGUGAAAACAUCAACACAACUUCCAAAAUCAAAUUGAAAACACACACCUCUUAAUGAAGGUGUGCUGUUGGCGUUCUGAGCUUCCCCUGUUGCUGCAUCUACAGCUGCUGCAGUCUUUACCUGUUGAAAAUUGUAUCAUUGCUGUUCGUGCUUUUAAACUGGACCUCUUGUCUCUUUCUGCCAAGGCUUUUAGUACUAUUGUGGAGCACAACCUCUGGCUGCUCACUGCCUACCCCCACCUUUAGAAUAUACUAUGUCCGCAGGAGGGAGACCAUGCGCCAUCGUGGAAUCUGAUUUGUGAAUAUAGAAGCACCUGUCUGGGCCUCUGACUAUAGAAUCCCCUGUUGCUGCUGCUUAUCGACACUUUGACUCUCUCUAUUGUACAACAGAGCCAGUCGUGGUGCCACUGAUCUGGCAACUGUGGCUGCUUUCACCCGAGAGGCCACCUACCGAGAGGUAACCAAAAUGGCAUCCCUGUUUGAGAGGAGAAUGGCCAGGGGACACCUGCAUUGUCUGGGCAUGCUCACUCACCUUCCUAGCAGUCAUCCAACUCUUCUCUGUCUGUGUAGCCUCGACAGAUGAUGUGACCAGCUCACCCAUGACUGUGUCGCCAAAUAUCAGACUAAUGCCAUUUCUCAGUUUGUU